ACUGAUAAGUGGAUAUUAGCCCCAAACCUAGGAUACCCAAGAUAUAAGAUAUAAUAUCACUCUGGCUUAUCUACCUCUCUCAUGGUGCUCAGGCACACCUGUCUAGAGACAGUACAGCCCUCAGUGAACCGGGCUCUCCUCCAUCAAUUAACAAUCAAGAGAAUGCAACCACAGACACUAGACAUGUCCAUAGGCCAGUUGUAGAGGCGGUAAGAUUCCCUCUUUCAUGGAGUGUCAAGUUGACAAUCAAGAUUAUUCCUGACUGUGUGCGUGUGCGUGUGUGCGCGCACGUGCGCCACCUAUGUGGAUGCGAGGAAACGAAUCAAGUCCUCUGCAAGAACAGCCAGUGCUUUCAACCAUCACGCCAUCUCUUUGGAGCCAUGGACAAACUACAAAUUUUUGUAUAUUAUUCUGUCCUGCUUUUUUGUUCCUAGCUCUCAGUGUAAACAUCAAAAAGACAUCAGUGCCACGCAACAGCCUGGAAAACCUGACACCUUGACAUUUCUCCUGUCAAAUAAGCUAGUCUGCCAUUUUUUAAACACAGUCUUGAGGCUAGAGAGAUUGCUCAGUAGUUAAGAACACUUGCUGCUCUUUCGGAGGAUUCAAGUUUGAAUCCCGGCACCCCACUCACAUGGGGCAGCUCACAGCUACCUGCAAUUUCAGCUUUAGAUGAUGUGGCACCCUCUUCUGGUCUCUCCCAAAGCACUGCACACGCACAUAUGCACAGAUACAAAUAAAAUAAAUAAAUCUUUAAACUCAGCCUCCCACAAAAUUUCAAGAAGGAACAAAAUGUCCUUAAGCUCUGUGCAGUGUGCUACACAGGAUAUGAGUGCGAAAGUUUCCCUGGGAUCAUGGGAGUCCACGACAUAUCAAAAGUAAUCACUGCACCAAUGUCCGAUUUGUCAAAACAAUGAGUUUUCCUAGGGUCACUAACAGGACUAUGGGAUAGGGCUUACUUACAAGAAACAGGCAUGACUCAAAAGCAGCUCCAUCACUAGAAAGCCCACCCCACCACAGGUGAUGCCCUCACUCUGACAUUCCUGAAGUCCAAGUGCCACCCUGGAAUUCUCUAUAACGCUUGCAGGCAAGCCCACAAUCCAAAUAUCUUUCUUUGCACAGUUUGGCUGGUCAGAGUCUCCACCCAGCAAAUGUUUACCCCCUAUUUAUACUGUUCUGUUAAGGUCUUCAAGAAACUUCCAAGUUUCUAUUCCUUCUGAUUAUGUGACCUUUUGUUUACUUCCUAAGGCUCUUGAGCCUCCCUUUCCUUUCUGGAGCAAACGUUUCAAUUUUGAAGUAAUGUUGCAAUUUGGAGUAAAAUGCCACAAAACCAAUGACCUGUACUCCAACUAUCAGCACAAUGUUUUGUUUUUCUUUCCCAUCUAUGACUCAUGAGCACAGACAUUACUUCAUGGAUACAGUCAUUACCCCAUGGGCCCAGUCAUUAUCUCAUAGGCAAAGUCACUGCCUCAUAGAUAUAGUCAUUACCUCAUGAGCACAGAUAGUACUGCAUGAAUACAACCAUUAUGUCAUGACCACAGUCAUUAAUUCAUAGGCACAGUCAUUUACCUCAUGGGCACUGACAUUACCUCAUGCAUAUAGACAUUACUUCACGGACAGUUAUUACUUCAUGAGCACAGUCAUUACCGCAUAAAUAUAGACAUUACUUCAUAGACACAGUUAUUACCUCAUGAACACAGUCAUUACUUCAUGUGCACAGUCCUUACCUCAUGGGUACAGAUAUUACCUCACUAGUGAAGUCAAUCACUAUCUCAUCAGAUCCUGGACUUUUGAUCUCCUCCAUAAUUACCCAUUAAGUUCUUUGUUGGUUAUUUUUAUGAACCUGUGUGCAGAGCACCUGAGAGAGCAACUGAAAGGAAGAAAGACUUAUUUUGCUCGCAGAUUCAGAGCAAAUGCUCUGAAUCCAUGACGGCUCAUCCCCAUCCACCUGAUAUUUUGCAUCAUGGUGAGAGGAGCCUAUGGUAAGGGGUUCUUUACCUUGCAUGGACAGAAGCAAAAAGAGAUUAAAACAAAAAAAGGAACAGUGGACAAGAUUCCCCCCCCACCAAUGAUCUGUCCCUAAUGGUCUAUGUCUUCCAACUACACUCCACCUCCUGAAGUUUCCAGAACCUCCAAAAUAGUGUCACCAGCAGGGCACUUGCCAGAGGCAGGUUUAGUAUAUGUUGUUUAAUUGUACAGCAAUAAUUUUCUCUAAAUCAAAACAUUCCCUCUGGAAAGUUGGGGUGUAGGAGUCUGAGAAGGUGGAGAAGGUCAAGACUUCCAAAGCCCUUUCCAGGUUACAGAAGCAGGAAACACUGCUGUGGUAGAUACUGGCCAGCCUGGCACCUGGAGAGCACUCUCUAACCUGCGAGCUGCCCACAAUCAUGCAGGGAGGUCCUGUGUCACCAUCCUGCUUUUGGGUCCUCCCUGCUUCCAUAACCCUCAUCCAUAUCUGUCACUAACUCCAAUAAACUCACCAAUUCCCCAAGGUGGAUGUUGGUAAGAAUGAUCACUUGAAUCUCACCUAUUUUCCUCAUCUGGACUUAGCAGACUGUGUGGUGUCUCCCAGGAAAAAGUCUCUCACAAUACUCAGACCACUUGCUGUGGACUUGUUUCCUUCAGCUUGGAACACUCCCUCUUUCAGAAGGGAAGGUCACAAGACUCAGGAAGCCUACUAAAUUAAUAAGACUAACAAGCACACUCCCUAAGGGAUAUCAUUAGUAAACAGUUGCAGGAUUGGGGGAAGGAGAACACUCUUUGGUGGAGCUGCCUGCAUGUUGAGUAGGAAGCUAUAGGGAUAUAUUGCUUUCAUGAGUUGUCACCCCAUGCUGGGGUUGACUUUUUAGUGGUGCAACUGCCUGAAUCACCUCCUGUGUGGAACCCCAACAAACACCAUAGCUCAUCAAGAAAGAUUGAGUGAAGUUGUUUCAUUACCCUGUCCUGGGUGCCUUAUCCCAGAUGUGUCUCCCCAAGAAAAGUCACUCGACACCGUGAUGUGCACCUUGACUUUGGAAUGUGGAUUUUCUCAUCCUGGGAGCAGUCCCAGCAUUCGUGUCUAUUUUUAUAUGGCAUUUUCCCCUCUAAGCCUAAAGUGGUGUCAUUUUCAACUUCUCCUGGUAGUCAUGGCAACUAUAGCUGCCCAUAAGAGUAGUAGCCAAAUCAAAGGGGAUGCUGUCAGAGCUGUCAGAACUCCUGAAGGAAGGUCCGGAGAUCUUCUCCUGGGACUCCAGCUAUGACUCUCUACCCCAGUAAAAUAUGAUCUUGGGAUAUACUUCAGUAUAUACGAAAAGAGGUUUUAAAUCAGGACUUCGUGGUGCAGCUUCCAUAAGGCUAUCACCCAUGAUGGGUGGGACCUUACAAUGAUACAGCCAUUUGAGGUUACCCAUGAUCCCAUUAAUAGCCCCUCACCUGUUCUCUGAAAAAAAAUAAAAACUCUUAAGAAGCCCAUAGUUCUCAGCAAGCUGAACACGGAUGGACAUGCUGUUUUGGUGCCCACCUGGGAUAAAUAGACUUGUUCACAUCUCCCAGGAGAGUUAACAAGACACCAUGUGGUCUCUGGUUCUUCCUGUGAGGGAGGACAACCACAUCUGCGGAACUUGGCCUUGGCAGACCCCAAGGCAGCAAAGGUGACCUCUAAGUCUCCAUCAGGGUGACCACUCUCACUUGUCCUCUGCUGACAUCAGGCUCUGGCAGAAUCUCUAUGGCCCUCUGUACACCUGGCACUGUGCCACUUAAAAGAAAGCAAAUGUCUCCAAAUCACACAGAGGGAAAACCAGAUGGAAGUCUAUGCUCAAAGUGUGCUGUGGAGGAUGGGUUCUGAGAAGGCUUCCAAAAGAGGAAGUGAGAGGCUAGAUCAUAUCUAGAUUGAGCAACAUAACUCACUGGUACAUCUCAGUGGAGAAGCCAGACAUAAGAGGAAGACGCUGAAGAAUGGGGAGUUAGGAAAUCAGCCCUCAGAGCUCCCCUGGACCGUCUAUGCCCCUGGGUGUGUCUGGGCCCAGCUGCCUCUCCCUGCCUGGAUAGGUGGCCAUCAUGUGGGGGCGGAGCCAAUUUGAAGCAGAGCAAGACUGCACUGUCAGAGUCACAAAGAGUGCCCAGGAUCCUCACACAGCCUGUAAGCAGUCUGGACCAGAAUCCCGAGUGUCAACAGAAGAACAAACUGAAACUCAGAGAGGGCAAGCAUCUAAGCCAAGUUGCACAGCCCAAAACAAUCUUAGGUUUGUCAGACCCUAAAGCCCAAAGCUUUUUCCCUCUACAAUGUUGUCUCACCCUACUGAGAACAGUUCCCUCUCAAGAGAGGGGCAUUGACAGUGCUGGGAUCUCAAGGCAUGAGGUGGUUCCAUACCAGAAGCACCCUGAAACAUUGUUAAUGGCCAUCUGUUUUUCCUCCUAUACCCAGUAUACUCUUCCCAGCAGACUGCCUAUUCACUUCCUGGCCUCCUGAGAUUGCUCUGUAGGUAUUGAAGAGCUGGCUCCAAAUACAGCUGCUGAGAAAGAAGAUGAGUAAGAGAUAACUCCCUCUACAUCCUCAGUGCCUCCUCCAGCCAGACAGCCAGGAUGUCAGGUGGCUAGAGCCCUCAAUAGAGUCACAGUGUCCUAUGCCUGUCAUCCAAACACUUGAGAGGCUGAGAAAAGAAUGUAGUUCAAGGCCCACUUGGGCUACAGUGAAAGCCUCCACCAUCAUUCCAACUCUCUUCUGGCCUCCUUGAGUACCCACACUCACAUGUACAUAUCCACACAAAGACACGAACAUACAUACACACAAUUUAAAAUAAAAAUCAUGGUGAUUCAUAUCUUAGUCACUGUUCUAUUGCUGUGAAGAGACACCAUGGCCAAGACAAUUCUUAGAAAAGAAAUCAUUUAAUUGGGGCUGGCUUACAGUUUCAGAGGUUCAGUCCAUUGUCAUCAUGGUGGAAACAUGGCAGCACACAUAGCAGUGGAGCAAUAGCUGAGAGCUUUACAUCCUGGCCCACAGAUAGGCAAGCAGAGAGAGAAUGGACCUAGCAUGGGCUUUUGAAACCUCAAAGCCUCCGUGACAGACUUCCUCCAACAAGGACAAACUCCCUAAUGAUGACAAUACUUUCAAACAGUUCCACUUCUGGGGGUCUGUGAUGGCUAUUUCUGGUUGUCAACUUGACUAUAUCUGGAACUACAAUCCAGAAAUGGAGGGUACAUCUAUGAUCCAAAUCUUGAGACAUAGUGGCCAUGAAAAGUGUAGGCCCAGGCAAAGUGGCACAUGCCUUUAAACCCAGGAGACAGAGGCAAGCAGAUCUCUGAGUUCAAGGCCAUUCUGGGACAGAGCAAGUCCCAAGUAAAGAACAGCUUAGGUCCAGGCAUCGUGGUACACACCUUUAAUCUGAGACAUACCUUCUUCAGGAGGCCUGCAUAAGGACAAUGGGAAAAAGUAAGGGUUCCUUUUUCUUUGCCUGCCUGCACUUACUUGCCAGCGCAUCUGCUGGAACCUACUUCUUCAGGAGUCCAGCCUAUACAGAAGACCGGCCUACACACAUAGCCUUGUGGGACUGAGCAACUACUAGACUCUUGGACUUCCCAUUCACAGUUGCCCAUUGUUGGGGUUGUUGUAUUAUGCCAGGAAAUGUUCGUGAACCCCCAAAAGACCACCAAGGAGCCAUAUCCAAUGCAAUCGCGUUAGGAUUUCUUUAUUAAAGUUUGAGCUUGGGCCAUACCACUGUCUCUGAUGCAGGAGAAUGGGAGGAAAACCUCUAUCCCAGUUUCAGGCAAGCAUUUAUAGAGGCAAGAAAGGGGUACACAUCUGAUGAGGAGACAAUUAUGGCCUUUAAAACAAUUGGCUGCUAUUGGGAACCAAACCAUACAUUUUGUUUUCCUCCUGAGUGGUAAUUGUUAGGAAGUGAAAUGAACCUCCAGUUGUAAUCUGGAGGUGUAUAUUUGUUGGGGGUAACCUGGAAACUGGUGCUAGGUGCCAGCUUGUUAGUUAACUUAAGUUCAACCUUAGGUCAGGUUCUCUAAGAUGGAGUCUAAACCCAAAAGAUUUGGUCUCUCACUCCCUCCUUUCUCUAGUAACAAGAAGGCCCAAUCAUGGGACUUCCUGAAGUUAUUAUUAUAUUUUAGAAGGAGUCAGUGUUGUCAUCACUCAGCCCUCGUGGUGUCCCUGGGGCUUGGGUAGGGGUUCCAUCAGUGGGAUACAGGAGGGAGUCCUGAGGCUGAAUUUUCCUCCUGCUGGUCAGGGUCAUCUUCAACUGCAAAUGGGUCUGUGAUUUCAAGCUGCAAUCUUGUGACCUUUAGGGCAGUGGAGCAAGGGACGGGGGUGGGGAGGACCUGUUUUAUAGAGAACAUGGAGUCUAGACCAAACAUGUUUAUGAGCCCAUUGGACACCUUUGAGAUUGUCUAGCAAUUAGUGGUCCUCAAACUCAGUGAUGAUUUCUGCCUGUAUGUUAAGAAUAAUGGGGGGGGGGUGUUGUUCCAAAACAUGAUUUUUAAAAAAGAUUUAUUUAUUUAUUAUAUGUAAGUACAGUGUAGCUGUCUUCAGACACUCCAGAAAAGGGUGUCAGACCUCAUUGCAGAUGGUUGUGAGCCACCAUGUGGUUGCUGGGAUUUGAACUUAGGACCUUCGGAAGAGCAGUCAGUGCUCUUAACCACUGAGCCAUCUCUCCAGCGCUUCAAACAUGAUUUUAAAAGGAGUGAAUCCCAUCUAGGAAGGUGAGUUUUAUAACUGGUAGAGAGCAAAAGGAAGAAGAUUUACUCAGUUGUUGUCAGUCUCUUAGGUCAAUUUAGUUAAGGUCUCUUUUAGGGUUCUGCUCAUUCUCUCUACUUGUCCUGAACUCUGGGUUACAAUAAAGUUUCCAAUUAAUCCCCAGAAUAGUGGCUAAUCCCUGAUUUACCUGGGGCACAAAAACUGGUCCAUUGUCUGACUCUAUCAUCUGAGGAAGCCCAUAUCUCAGUAAUAUAUCCUCUAAGAGCUUCUUUGUCACCGUGGUUGUAGUUUUAUUCUUGGUGGGGAAAGCCUCAGUCCAACCUGAAAAGGUAUCUAUAAGCAUCAGUAAAUAUUUAUAUCUAAAUUUUCUGGUUUUACCUCUGUAAAGUCUGCCUUUCAGUAGACUCUGAGCUUUGUGUCUCUGAACCUAUUAAUGGGGUUCUUUUUAGCUGGCAGGCUUUAUAGUUCUUGACAAUCUAUAGUUCUUAGCUAUCUUUGAGUUGGCAUCACUAAUCCUGAUAUUAUCAUGUCGUAUCAAAUCCUGCAUUCUCCGGAUGCCCAUGUGGGAAGAGCAGUGGAUCUUCUGAAGUACAGGCAGUCUCAUUUCUCCUGGCACACUGAGUUUGUAACAAGAAGAAGGAAGACUAGCCGGGCGUGGUGGUACAUGCCUUUAAUCCCAGCACUCGGGAGGCAGAGGCAAUUCUGAGUUCAAGGCCAGACUGGUCUACAAAGUGAGUUCCAGGACAACCAGGGCUAUCCAGAGAAACCCUGUCUCGAAAAACAAAAAAGAAGAAGAAGAAGAAGAAGAAGAAGAAGAAGAAGAAGAAGAAGAAGAAGAAGAAGAAGAAGAAGAAGAAGAAGAAGAAGAAGAAGAAGAAGAAGAAAGACCAAAUACUCACAGGAGGAAAUAUGGAGACAAAGUGUGGAGCAGAGACUGAAGGAAAAGCCAUCCAGAGACUGCCCCCACCUGGGGAUCCAUCCCAUAUACAGCGACCAAACCCAUAUACAGACACUAUUGUGGAUGCCAGGAAGUGCUUGCUCCUGGAAGCCUGAUAUGACUGUCUCCUGAGAGGCUCUGCCAGAGCUUGACAAAUACAGAGGCAGAUGCUCACAGCUAAUCAUUGGACUGAGCUCAGGGUUCCCCGAUGUAGGAGUUGGAGAAGGAACUGAAAGAGCUGAGUGGUGUUGCAGCCCCAUGGGGGGGGGGCGGGGGGGGAACAAUGUCAACAGGCCAGAUCCCCCAAAGAUCCCAGGGACUGGACCACCAACCAAAGAAUACACAUGGAGGGACCUAUGACACUGGCCACAUAUGUGGCAGAGGAUGGCCUUGUUGGACAUUGCCAGGAGCCAUGGCCUCAAACGUGGCCUUGUGAAAAAAUUAUAGCUUACAUAAACAGCCCUGAGAGAACAUUUGUGGUCAAAACAGAAAGAAUAUUUGUGGUUGAAGAGGGCACUAUGACUGAUGAUUCGAGAAACUGAAGGCCAUCUGACCUUCGGAGAGCCCCCAGGCUCUUUCCCCCCUCCCUUGAAGCUUCCUCUUGCUUUUGCUUAUAUUGCCACCCCUGAGUAAAGUUUUUCAUAGCUUCAUCA
Long non-coding RNA from Mus musculus (house mouse), 8260 nucleotides. RefSeq annotates it as predicted gene, 51535. The transcript is spliced from 3 exons. NCBI's taxonomy places the organism in Eukaryota, Metazoa, Chordata, Mammalia, Rodentia, Muridae. The record is from RefSeq and is a predicted model, not a curated record.